AUGGUGUGUGUGAACAUCCUACCUGUUGCUCUCAAGAGUAUCACCAAUGCCGAAAAGAGAGGGAAACGCCGGUUCUUACUAGGCCAUGCUCCAAAGUCAUUGUCCAACUUCUAGCUGUGAUGAUGAAGCAUCGUUACAUUGGCAAAUUUGAAAUCAUUGAUGAUAACAGAGCUGGGAAAAUUGUGAACCUCACAGGCAGGCUAAACAAGUGUAGAGCCCCAGCUUUGAUUUGCAACUCAAAGAUCUAGAAAAACGGCAGAACAAUCUGCUUCUAUCCCAACCAUUUGACUUCGUCAUAUUGACAGCCUUAGCUGGUAUCAUGGACCAUGAAGAAGCAAGACGAAAACACACAGGAGGGAAAAUCCUUGGAUUUUGUUUCUAG
This 382-nucleotide long non-coding RNA is filed under the name Homo sapiens (human). Its description in RNAcentral is "non-protein coding lnc-CCDC17-2:2". The record is from RNAcentral. Lineage: Eukaryota; Metazoa; Chordata; Mammalia; Primates; Hominidae.